GUCUAUGGCCAUGCCACCCUGAACAAGCCCGAUCCCGUCUGAUCUUGGAAGCUAAGUAGGGUCGGGCCUGGUUAGUACUUGGAUGGGAGACCACCUACGAAGACCAAAAAUAAAAAAUA
Molecule: ribosomal RNA, 119 nt
Filed under: Pteropus alecto (black flying fox)
Lineage: Eukaryota; Metazoa; Chordata; Mammalia; Chiroptera; Pteropodidae
Also listed under: 1 other name
Source: RNAcentral